This 506-nucleotide ribosomal RNA is filed under the name uncultured bacterium. RNAcentral's name for it is "bacterial SSU rRNA". It matches the Rfam family "Bacterial small subunit ribosomal RNA", at positions 975 to 1482 of the family's 1533-position model. The record is from RNAcentral.
CAGCCUUGACAUCCCGGUCGCGGACUCCAGAGACGGAGUUCUUCAGUUCGGCUGGACCGAAGACAGGUGCUGCAUGGCUGUCGUCAGCUCGUGUCGUGAGAUGUUGGGUUAAGUCCCGCAACGAGCGCAACCCCCGUCCUUAGUUGCUACCAUUCAGUUGAGCACUCUAAGAGACUGCCGGUGAUAAGCCGCGAGAAGGUGGGGAUGACGUCAAGUCCUCAUGGCCCUUACGGGCUGGGCUACACACGUGCUACAAUGCGGUGACAAUGGGAUGCAAAGGCGCAAGCCCCAGCAAAUCUCAAAAAGCCGUCUCAGUUCGGAUUGGGCUCUGCAACUCGAGCCCAUGAAGUUGGAAUCGCUAGUAAUCGUGGAUCAGCACGCCACGGUGAAUACGUUCCCGGGCCUUGUACACACCGCCCGUCACACCAUGGGAGUUGGUUUUACCUGAAGACGGUGCGCUAACCGCAAGGAGGCAGCCGGCCACGGUAGGGUCAGCGACUGGGGUG